Molecule: long non-coding RNA, 731 nt
Filed under: Crocodylus porosus (Australian saltwater crocodile)
Lineage: Eukaryota; Metazoa; Chordata; Crocodylia; Crocodylidae
Description: lncRNA (ENSCPRG00005014668.1)
Source: RNAcentral
GUUUACAGACUGGAACCACUGACAGAAAAACAAAAAGAUGUUGACCGAAGAUUUGUUACUUACAAGUCUCGUGAAUGCAAGUGGGAUUCCAGGUUAAUUCUACCAAAGAACCCCUGGCCACCCAAAUCUGCCUCAUUUACGAGACACAAAAGGCGGCGUGGUGCCUACACUGCAUUCUUAGAUCGUGUGGAAGAAAGGUUAAGUAACAUCUGGCAACAUGGUGAAGCCUUUGAGGACGAUAUUGGAGAGGAGAAUUUUGUUCUUCUUUUUGAGCUAGUUUGGUGCAUGUCUGGAGUAACUCCAUAAGAGGAAAGGAUUGUUGUGGGAGAUAUCUUUUGUUGGACGAACUGCAUGGUUGGGAUAGACUUAGGCAGGCGUUCAUAUGCAAAGCAUUCUUCAUCAGGUCUGGGGUGAACUCCAGUUAUUUCAAUGCCCAUAGCAGCGUAACAGAGAGAAACUGGACUGCAUGUCUUUUUGUAUUUUGUCAAAGGUCACACCUUUUACAUAUUUACUCAAUAUAAAGCAAACUGUCAGGGCCAACCAGUAUGCAAAACUAAAAGGAAAAUGGAAGCAUAUGUAAUCUUUGUGGUUUAAAACUGGACUGUAAAGUGCAGCGAAUUUGUGGUGAAAGACAAGUCAACCAAACAGAAUGGAACUCUGUAAACCCUUGAACGAACUCUGUUACAGUUUGUUUUUUUGAUUCGUCAAAUAUUACUAUUUUUCACUAUUUA